This 18-nucleotide transfer RNA is filed under the name Mochlus sundevallii (Peters' eyelid skink). RNAcentral's name for it is "Mochlus sundevalli partial tRNA-Tyr". Lineage: Eukaryota; Metazoa; Chordata; Lepidosauria; Squamata; Scincidae. The record is from RNAcentral.
UGUGGUAAGAACGGGACU